AUGAAAGGGAUCAUGAAGGGUCGAACUUUUGGUCCUGUUUGCACGGUGUUACAGAGUGUGGAGUUUCAGAAGCGCGAUCUGCCACACAUACAUGUCCUCAUCUGGCUUGAAGGUAGGACAGGUGGAGGCCUAACCGACCUUGCAGAUACAUACAUCUUAGCCGAGAUUCUCGAUCCAGUAGUAGAUCCUCUUGGCUAUGCCUUAGUCGAAGAUUUUAUGAUGCAUGGCCCGUGUGGUUUAGCUAAUAAAAACUGCCCUUGCAUGAAAGAUAAGGUGUGCACAAAAAAUGUCCAAAACAAUUUCAGAGUGAGAGCACUGUUGACGAUAAGGGUUUUGUCAUGUAUAGGCGUCGUGAUUCUGGUAUAA
This 366-nucleotide ribosomal RNA is filed under the name Triticum aestivum (bread wheat). RNAcentral's name for it is "partial small subunit ribosomal RNA". Lineage: Eukaryota; Viridiplantae; Streptophyta; Magnoliopsida; Poales; Poaceae. The record is from RNAcentral.